RNAcentral lists this unclassified non-coding RNA (216 nucleotides) under Hevea brasiliensis (rubber tree). The record is from RNAcentral. Lineage: Eukaryota; Viridiplantae; Streptophyta; Magnoliopsida; Malpighiales; Euphorbiaceae.
AAAAGGAAAAAAGAAAGUGCUUCAGCAAACACUAAGGACAACCUACCAAAUGUAUUGGUACUUCACAUUAUUAAACCUGUUUCUCUGCUACAUGACAUCAAUCUUUAAAUUUUCUCAUGUCACUAAAUAUGGGGAAGACACAAAUUCAAUGAAAGAAAAUGUAAAUGAAGUUUUGAAAAAUAAAAAUAAAAACUCAAGACUGACUUCCAAGAAAAC